AAGACCUUGCGCUUUUGGAGCGGCCGAUGUCUGAUUAGCUUGUUGGUGAGGUAAAAGCUUACCAAGGCUUCGAUCAGUAGCUGGUCUGAGAGGACGGCCAGCCACACUGGGACUGAGACACGGCCCAGACUCCUACGGGAGGCAGCAGUGGGGAAUUUUGGACAAUGGGGGCAACCCUGAUCCAGCCAUGCCGCGUGAGUGAAGAAGGCCUUCGGGUUGUAAAGCUCUUUCAGCCGGAACGAAACGGUUACGGUUAAUACCCGUGACUACUGACGGUACCGGAAGAAGAAGCACCGGCUAACUACGUGCCAGCAGCCGCGGUAAUACGUAGGGUGCAAGCGUUAAUCGGAAUUACUGGGCGUAAAGCGUGCACAGGUGGUUUUGUAAGUCAGAUGUGAAAUCCCCGGGCUUAACCUGGGAACU
RNAcentral lists this ribosomal RNA (423 nucleotides) under uncultured bacterium. RNAcentral describes it as "bacterial SSU rRNA". It matches the Rfam family "Bacterial small subunit ribosomal RNA", at positions 207 to 622 of the family's 1533-position model. The record is from RNAcentral.